Molecule: transfer RNA, 69 nt
Filed under: Ocinebrellus inornatus (Asian drill)
Lineage: Eukaryota; Metazoa; Mollusca; Gastropoda; Neogastropoda; Muricidae
Description: tRNA-Gly
Source: RNAcentral
AUCUUCUGAGUAUGAAUAAGUACACUUGCCUUCCAAGUAAGAGGAUUAAAAAGAUUUAAAGAAGAUACC